UUCCUGCUGGGUUUUGUCAUGUGAUCAUGUAUCCCAUCUACCUCUCUGGCUCUGGAGAAUGGAGGCACUCAGUUUCCUGUGAAUGUAUAAAGACAUCUGACAUUAUGCCAGCAGACAGACUUCCCACCCAAACAGCUGCGUUCCUCUCCGAGACUCGCUGUGGGAAAACACUCAGUCAGAUGACGACGGGCUCAUACCGCGGAUGCUCUGUGUGACUGAAACAUGAAUCGAUCUGUUAUUGAUAACGAGCUGUUAAACUGAACAUGAGAGUUGAUGAUGCUGACAUUCCCCUCCAUCCUCCCCACCACCACCAGGUUGUCCCUGUCCAUCCAUUGGGGGGAGGCUCCACCCCUGCCUUUAUCUACAGGCAGGAUCAUGCGAAUCUGCAUCCCCAGGAUUUGGACAAAGGACGGGGCCCACGCCAAAACACUUACACAACUAAACAUGAAUCAUUGUAGCGCACUACUAUCUGUUCAUACGUAAUGGAAUAAACACCAUAUAAAUGUUCAUCUGCCUUCUGAGUCUUUAUGGUAGAACGGUCUUGAACAUUAAACAUCAUUAAAUCUCAACAACGUCUCAAACUUUGCUCAGAUGUGUCGAAAUCAGCAAUCACAAGACAAGUCGGAGAUCACAAUACAAAAUCAAAACACUGAGCUGCAAUCUGAGUUAUUGUGUCCCCUGUGGUGACCGAAACAUGCAUUGAUCUGUUAUUGGAAAUUUUCUGUUAAACGAGUAGAGAAAAGCAUUCAACACAGUCUGUCUGUCUAUCAGUAUAUCAGUCUAUCUAU
This is a long non-coding RNA of Megalobrama amblycephala (Wuchang bream), 788 nucleotides long. RefSeq lists it as uncharacterized. The record is from RefSeq and is a predicted model, not a curated record. The transcript is spliced from 3 exons. NCBI's taxonomy places the organism in Eukaryota, Metazoa, Chordata, Actinopteri, Cypriniformes, Xenocyprididae.